Molecule: non-coding RNA, 87 nt
Organism: Triticum urartu
Lineage: Eukaryota; Viridiplantae; Streptophyta; Magnoliopsida; Poales; Poaceae
Source: Rfam
CUAGCAUAUGACGAUAAGCAAGACAGGGACUCUGCAGCGGCCCCGGCCGCGAAUGAUGCAUUCGUCUAGGGGAAUCUCUGAUGCUAA